GACGAACGCUGGCGGCGUGCCUAAUACAUGCAAGUCGAGCGAAUUUUUAGGAGCUUGCUCCUAAAAAUUAGCGGCGGACGGGUGAGUAACACGUGGACAACCUGCCUAUAAGACUGGGAUAACUUCGGGAAACCGGAGCUAAUACCGGAUAAUUCCUUUCCUCACAUGGGGGAAGGCUGAAAGACGGUUUCGGCUGUCACUUAUAGAUGGGCCCGCGGCGCAUUAGCUAGUUGGUGAGGUAAUGGCUCACCAAGGCAACGAUGCGUAGCCGACCUGAGAGGGUGAUCGGCCACACUGGGACUGAGACACGGCCCAGACUCCUACGGGUGGCUG
RNAcentral lists this ribosomal RNA (333 nucleotides) under uncultured Bacillota bacterium. RNAcentral's name for it is "bacterial SSU rRNA". It matches the Rfam family "Bacterial small subunit ribosomal RNA", at positions 28 to 351 of the family's 1533-position model. The record is from RNAcentral. Lineage: Bacteria; Bacillati; Bacillota.